Molecule: ribosomal RNA, 439 nt
Filed under: uncultured bacterium
Lineage: Bacteria
Description: partial 16S ribosomal RNA
Rfam family: Bacterial small subunit ribosomal RNA
Source: RNAcentral
CUACGGGCUGCACCAGCAAGGAAUAUUGGGCAAUGGGCGAAAGCCUGACCCAGCGACACCGCGUGGAGGAAGAAGGCCUUCGGGUUGUAAACUCCUUUUAUCAGGGAAGAAUAAUGACGGUACCUGGUGAAUAAGUCUCGGCUAACUACGUGCCAGCAGCCGCGGUAAUACGUAGGAGGCGAGCGUUAUCCGGAUUUACUGGGCGUAAAGAGGGCGUAGGCGGCUUUUCAAGUCGGAUGUGAAAUCUCCCGGCUUAACUGGGAGGGUGCAUUCGAUACUGGAUGGCUGGAGUGCAUCAGGGAAAGCGGAAUUCCCGGUGUAGUGGUGAAAUGCGUAGAUAUCGGGAAGAACACUAGUGGCGAAGGCGGAUUUCUGGGGUGUUACUGACGCUGAGGCCCGAAGGCGUGGGGAGCAAACAGGAUUAGAUACCCCCGUAGUA